Molecule: long non-coding RNA, 557 nt
Organism: Portunus trituberculatus (swimming crab)
Lineage: Eukaryota; Metazoa; Arthropoda; Malacostraca; Decapoda; Portunidae
Exons: 2
Source: RefSeq, a predicted model, not a curated record
UCAUCAUCAUCAUCAUCAUCAUUAUAAUAAUAAUAAUUAUUAUUAUUUUUAUUAUUAUUAUUAUUAUUGGUACUAUUACUAUUAUUAUUAAUAUUGCCUUUCAAAUUGACAUUAUAUCAUUGCCUUUCAUUGGAAGACUUCUAAGGAUGCUAAUAGAACAGGUGGUCUGGAACUGUAGAGAGAAUAGAAGAAAACAUGUUGACCAAAAAAAGAAACUGGACCUAAUGUGAAAGGUGUACUAAAAAUAAGGUUGGAAAUAAAUUAACAUUGUGAGGAGGACAAGGGAGAGCAAUUGUCAGGGAUGGAUACAGAUGUAAAUACUAAAAGCCAAGGAUGUAGGGAAAAGACCUUACAGACAACACCCGGCUUACAAACAAGUUAGGUUCCAGAUUUUAGUUUGUGAGUCAUAUUUUCGUAAAAUAUUUUGGGUUUGUAUGUCUAGGUGAUUUAAUGAAAUUGUGUUGAAAUAAUAUUGUACAGCAAACACUGAUAAAGGUACUCUAUGUAUAAUAAAGACAAAACAAAUUAGAUUGAUGAAUUUUACGAAUGCACAUGCU